UUUUGGCGAAAUUAGAUUUCCCAAAUUCAGCUUGGAAGAUGGAGUUUCGGGCCUCUGAAGUUUGGAACGUUAGAACGCCUAACUCUAUUUUACAGGAUGCUAUCAUUUUGUGAUCAGUAUGGCCCCCUUGUGUAUGUGAUGCAUGUGUGUAACUCAUUCGUGACCUGCGUGUCACGCGUACGGCAACACGACUGGAGCCAUAUGUGUUGUCACCUUAAUGUAUUUAAUGGUCUGCGUACCAA
Molecule: long non-coding RNA, 242 nt
Filed under: Setaria italica (foxtail millet)
Lineage: Eukaryota; Viridiplantae; Streptophyta; Magnoliopsida; Poales; Poaceae
Description: long non-coding RNA (SITA_LNC006872)
Source: RNAcentral